AAAAACAUUGCCUUUCGACUUUACUAUGGAAGGUUCAUCCUGCCCAAUGACUCUUAGUUCAAUGGCCGCGGUAUCUUGACCGUGCAAAGGUAGCAUAAUCACUUGCCCCUUAAUUAGGGGCUGGCAUGAAAGGACACACGAAAGCUUCCCUGUCUCACAAUAAUAAAUAAAAAUUAAUCUUUAAGUGAAAAAGCUUAAAUAAAAUUGCAGGACAAGAAGACCCCGUUGAGCUUUAUUCUCUAUAGACCAAUCUAAAUAUUUAUUAUAUCAUAAACCUAAAAAAGAAUUUAGUUGGGGUGACUAAGGAACAUCAUAAACUUCCUCUAUCUAUUUAGGGCUAUUCCCCAAAAAAAUUGACCCACAAACCGUGAUCAAAAAAAUAAGCUACCACAGGGAUAACAGGCUAAUCUUUCUUAAGAGCCCAAAUUGUCAGAAAGGAUUGGCACCUCGAUGUUGGCUUAGGGGCCCCUAAUGGUGCAGAAGCCAUAAAAGGUAGGUUUGUUCAACCUUUAAAACCCUAC
This 521-nucleotide ribosomal RNA is filed under the name Seepiophila jonesi. Its description in RNAcentral is "partial 16S ribosomal RNA". It matches the Rfam family "Bacterial large subunit ribosomal RNA", at positions 1809 to 2599 of the family's 2925-position model. Lineage: Eukaryota; Metazoa; Annelida; Polychaeta; Sabellida; Siboglinidae. The record is from RNAcentral.